AUACUCUGGUUUCUCUUCAGUUUAAAGAAAUCUUUUGCCUUUUAAUAAAGAUUUUUAUGGAGAGGAACAACCAUGAGUUUCAUGUAAUUUUUUGGAUUCCUGGCAGCUGCUGGGCU
Molecule: small nuclear RNA, 116 nt
Organism: Pseudophryne corroboree (corroboree frog)
Lineage: Eukaryota; Metazoa; Chordata; Amphibia; Anura; Myobatrachidae
Product: U5 spliceosomal RNA
Exons: 1
Source: RefSeq, a predicted model, not a curated record